RNAcentral lists this transfer RNA (66 nucleotides) under Paralaevicephalus gracilipenis. Its description in RNAcentral is "tRNA-Arg". Lineage: Eukaryota; Metazoa; Arthropoda; Insecta; Hemiptera; Cicadellidae. The record is from RNAcentral.
AACAUAGAAGUAAAAAAGUUACAAUUAGCUUCGACCUAAUUUUAAAGGUUAAAAUCCUUCAUGUUU